AUGCAAGUCGAACGAUAAGGCCCCUUCGGGGGUACAUAAGUGGCGGACGGCUGAGUAACACGUAGGUAACAUACCUUGUACUGGGGGAUAACACCGGGAAGCUGGUGCUAAUACCGCAUAAGUGCCAAGUUGAAAUACUUGUCAUUAAAGUUCAGGCGGUACAAGAUUGGCCUGCGUCUGAUUAGUUUGUUGGUGAGGUAAUGGCUCACCAAGGCGAUGAUCAGUAGCUGGUCUGAGAGGAUGAUCAGCCAGAGUGGAACUGAGAACGGUCCACACUCCUACGGGAGGCAGCAGUAGGGAAUAUUGCACAAUGGGCGAAAGCCUGAUGCAGCAACGCCGUGUGGAGGAUGAAGGCCCUAGGGUCGUAAACUCCUGUUAGCAGUGAAGAAUUCUGACUGUAACUGCAGAGGAAGCACCGGCUAACUACGUGCCAGCAGCCGCGGUAAUACGUAGGGUGCAAGCGUUGUCCGGAUUUAUUGGGCGUAAAGAGUUCGUAGGCGGCGACUUAAGUCUGAUGUUAAAUACUGGAGCUUAACUCCAGCUUGGCAUUGGAUACUGGGUUGCUAGAGUUUGAUAGAGGUAACUGGAAUUCCUGGUGUAGCGGUGAAAUGCGUAGAUAUCAGGAGGAACACCCGUGGCGAAAGCGAGUUACUGGGUCACAACUGACGCUGAGGAACGAAAGCUAGGGUAGCAAAAGGGAUUAGAUACCCCUGUAGUCCUAGCCGUAAACGAUGGAUACUAGGUGUUGGUGGAUUCGACCCCAUCAGUGCCGUAGCUAACGCGAUAAGUAUCCCGCCUGGGGAGUACGACCGCAAGGUUGAAACUCAAAGGAAUUGACGGGGGCCCGCACAAGCGGUGGAACAUGUGGUUUAAUUCGA
This 878-nucleotide ribosomal RNA is filed under the name uncultured bacterium. RNAcentral's name for it is "bacterial SSU rRNA". It matches the Rfam family "Bacterial small subunit ribosomal RNA", at positions 55 to 954 of the family's 1533-position model. The record is from RNAcentral.